UAUAUUGUUCAAAGCAUACAAAAAUGUAAAUUGGUUUUAAAUUACAAGUUACAUUUUUAAUUUUCAUUUAAAUGAUUAAAAAUUCUUUGCUGUAUAACAGUUUGAAACUGUUGUAAAAUUCAGUUUAAAUAUUCUACAAAAGGCUAAAAUCAGUUUAUUUUCUUAGUGGAUGUAGAAUAAUUCAGAUGUUACCAGUUUGUUGCAGAUGAAUAAAAGGAGGAAAAACAUUUUGAUUAAAAUUGUAAGUUCCCCAUUGCCAGCAGAGACCAGCUAGUUUUUUUUUGUUUGUUUGUACAUAUUAACAUUUAUUGUAAAUCCUUUUUUUCCUCAUUAGCUGAUAGUUGUGCUCAUGAUUCCAGCUGUUCUGUUGUUAAACUUGUUUUUGUGAACAGUCAUCAGCUCCAACCUGUGACUUAAUAAAAUGAGUUUUUGUAAGUUUCA
Thalassophryne amazonica is the source of this 441-nucleotide long non-coding RNA. RefSeq lists it as uncharacterized. The record is from RefSeq and is a predicted model, not a curated record. The transcript has 2 exons. Lineage: Eukaryota; Metazoa; Chordata; Actinopteri; Batrachoidiformes; Batrachoididae.